UUAAGCGACUAAGCGUACACGGUGGAUGCCCUGGCAGUCAGAGGCGAUGAAGGGCGUGCUAAUCUGCGAUAAGCGCCGGUAAGGUGAUAUGAACCGUUAUAACCGGCGAUACCCGAAUGGGGAAACCCAGUGUGAUUCGUCACACUAUCAUUAACUGAAUCCAUAGGUUAAUGAGGCGAACCGGGGGAACUGAAACAUCUAAGUACCCCGAGGAAAAGAAAUCAACCGAGAUUCCCCCAGUAGCGGCGAGCGAACGGGGAGGAGCCCAGAGCCUGAAUCAGCAUGUGUGUUAGUGGAAGCGUCUGGAAAGGCGCGCGAUACAGGGUGACAGCCCCGUACACAAAAGCGCAUGUGCUGUGAGCUCGAUGAGUAGGGCGGGACACGUGGUAUCCUGUCUGAAUAUGGGGGGACCAUCCUCCAAGGCUAAAUACUCCUGACUGACCGAUAGUGAACCAGUACCGUGAGGGAAAGGCGAAAAGAACCCCGGCGAGGGGAGUGAAAAAGAACCUGAAACCGUGUACGUACAAGCAGUGGGAGCCCCACCACUAAGCCAGUGGUGAACUCCACAUACGCAUCCUUUGCUGAAGGCAAUGGUUAACGGAGCGAAAGCGACGUUCAACCGCAAAACAAGCAGAGGGGGCUUAGUGGUGGGGUGACUGCGUACCUUUUGUAUAAUGGGUCAGCGACUUAUAUUCUGUAGCAAGGUUAACCGAAUAGGGGAGCCGUAGGGAAACCGAGUCUUAAUUGGGCGUUAAGUUGCAGGGUAUAGACCCGAAACCCGGUGAUCUAGCCAUGGGCAGGUUGAAGGUUGGGUAACACUAACUGGAGGACCGAACCGACUAAUGUUGAAAAAUUAGCGGAUGACCUGUGGCUGGGGGUGAAAGGCCAAUCAAACCGGGAGAUAGCUGGUUCUCCCCGAAAGCUAUUUAGGUAGCGCCUCGUGAAUUCAUCUCCGGGGGUAGAGCACUGUUUCGGCUAGGGGGCCAUCCCGGCUUACCAACCCGAUGCAAACUGCGAAUACCGGAGAAUGUUAUCACGGGAGACACACGGCGGGUGCUAACGUCCGUCGUGAAGAGGGAAACAACCCAGACCGCCAGCUAAGGUCCCAAAGUCAUGGUUAAGUGGGAAACGAUGUGGGAAGGCCCAGACAGCCAGGAUGUUGGCUUAGAAGCAGCCAUCAUUUAAAGAAAGCGUAAUAGCUCACUGGUCGAGUCGGCCUGCGCGGAAGAUGUAACGGGGCUAAACCAUGCACCGAAGCUGCGGCAGCGACGCUUAUGCGUUGUUGGGUAGGGGAGCGUUCUGUAAGCCUGUGAAGGUGGCCUGUGAGGGUUGCUGGAGGUAUCAGAAGUGCGAAUGCUGACAUAAGUAACGAUAAAGCGGGUGAAAAGCCCGCUCGCCGGAAGACCAAGGGUUCCUGUCCAACGUUAAUCGGGGCAGGGUGAGUCGACCCCUAAGGCGAGGCCGAAAGGCGUAGUCGAUGGGAAACGGGUUAAUAUUCCCGUACUUGGUGUUACUGCGAAGGGGGGACGGAGAAGGCUAUGUUGGCCGGGCGACGGUUGUCCCGGUUUAAGCGUGUAGGUGUGUGUUCCAGGUAAAUCCGGUUCACUUUAACACUGAGGCGUGAUGACGAGGCACUACGGUGCUGAAGCAACAAAUGCCCUGCUUCCAGGAAAAGCCUCUAAGCAUCAGGUAACAUCAAAUCGUACCCCAAACCGACACAGGUGGUCAGGUAGAGAAUACCAAGGCGCUUGAGAGAACUCGGGUGAAGGAACUAGGCAAAAUGGUGCCGUAACUUCGGGAGAAGGCACGCUGACACGUAGGUGAAGUGAUUUACUCACGGAGCUGAAGUCAGUCGAAGAUACCAGCUGGCUGCAACUGUUUAUUAAAAACACAGCACUGUGCAAACACGAAAGUGGACGUAUACGGUGUGACGCCUGCCCGGUGCCGGAAGGUUAAUUGAUGGGGUCAGCGCAAGCGAAGCUCCUGAUCGAAGCCCCGGUAAACGGCGGCCGUAACUAUAACGGUCCUAAGGUAGCGAAAUUCCUUGUCGGGUAAGUUCCGACCUGCACGAAUGGCGUAAUGAUGGCCAGGCUGUCUCCACCCGAGACUCAGUGAAAUUGAACUCGCUGUGAAGAUGCAGUGUACCCGCGGCAAGACGGAAAGACCCCGUGAACCUUUACUAUAGCUUGACACUGAACAUUGAGCCUUGAUGUGUAGGAUAGGUGGGAGGCUUUGAAGUGUGGACGCCAGUCUGCAUGGAGCCGACCUUGAAAUACCACCCUUUAAUGUUUGAUGUUCUAACGUGGACCCGUAAUCCGGGUUGCGGACAGUGUCUGGUGGGUAGUUUGACUGGGGCGGUCUCCUCCUAAAGAGUAACGGAGGAGCACGAAGGUUGGCUAAUCCUGGUCGGACAUCAGGAGGUUAGUGCAAUGGCAUAAGCCAGCUUGACUGCGAGCGUGACGGCGCGAGCAGGUGCGAAAGCAGGUCAUAGUGAUCCGGUGGUUCUGAAUGGAAGGGCCAUCGCUCAACGGAUAAAAGGUACUCCGGGGAUAACAGGCUGAUACCGCCCAAGAGUUCAUAUCGACGGCGGUGUUUGGCACCUCGAUGUCGGCUCAUCACAUCCUGGGGCUGAAGUAGGUCCCAAGGGUAUGGCUGUUCGCCAUUUAAAGUGGUACGCGAGCUGGGUUUAGAACGUCGUGAGACAGUUCGGUCCCUAUCUGCCGUGGGCGCUGGAGAACUGAGGGGGGCUGCUCCUAGUACGAGAGGACCGGAGUGGACGCAUCACUGGUGUUCGGGUUGUCAUGCCAAUGGCACUGCCCGGUAGCUAAAUGCGGAAGAGAUAAGUGCUGAAAGCAUCUAAGCACGAAACUUGCCCCGAGAUGAGUUCUCCCUGAGACUUUAGGUCUCCUGAAGGAACGUUGAAGACGACGACGUUGAUAGGCCGGGUGUGUAAGCGCAGCGAUGCGUUGAGCUAACCGGUACUAAUGAACCGUGAGGCUUAACCUU
RNAcentral lists this ribosomal RNA (3006 nucleotides) under Salmonella enterica subsp. enterica. Its description in RNAcentral is "23S ribosomal RNA". It matches the Rfam family "Bacterial large subunit ribosomal RNA". The record is from RNAcentral. Lineage: Bacteria; Pseudomonadati; Pseudomonadota; Gammaproteobacteria; Enterobacterales; Enterobacteriaceae.